This 446-nucleotide ribosomal RNA is filed under the name forest soil bacterium 2S2.G4. Its description in RNAcentral is "bacterial SSU rRNA". It matches the Rfam family "Bacterial small subunit ribosomal RNA", at positions 45 to 506 of the family's 1533-position model. The record is from RNAcentral.
UACUUAACACAUGCGUGUCCAGCGGUAAGGCCUUUCGGGGUACACGAGCGGCGAACGGGUGAGUAACACGUGGGUGAUCUGCCCUGCACUUCGGGAUAAGCCUGGGAAACUGGGUCUAAUACCGGAUAUGACCUCAGGUUGCAUGACUUGGGGUGGAAAGAUUUAUCGGUGCAGGAUGGGCCCGCGGCCUAUCAGCUUGUUGGUGGGGUAAUGGCCUACCAAGGCGACGACGGGUAGCCGACCUGAGAGGGUGACCGGCCACACUGGGACUGAGACACGGCCCAGACUCCUACGGGAGGCAGCAGUGGGGAAUAUUGCACAAUGGGCGAAAGCCUGAUGCAGCGACGCCGCGUUGAGGGAUGACGGCCUUCGGGUUGUAAACCUCUUUCAGCAGGGACGAAGCGCAAGUUGACGGUACCUGCAGAAGAAGCACCGGCUAACUACGU